This 72-nucleotide transfer RNA is filed under the name Camelus bactrianus (Bactrian camel). It matches the Rfam family "tRNA". From Rfam's summary of the family: Transfer RNA (tRNA) molecules are approximately 80 nucleotides in length. Their secondary structure includes four short double-helical elements and three loops (D, anti-codon, and T loops). The record is from Rfam by way of RNAcentral. Lineage: Eukaryota; Metazoa; Chordata; Mammalia; Artiodactyla; Camelidae. RNAcentral also lists the same sequence under 2 other names.
GGGAGUAUAGCUCAGUGGUAGAGCGUGUGCUUGACGUGCACGAGGUCCUGGAUUCAGUCACCAGUGCCUCUG